This 470-nucleotide ribosomal RNA is filed under the name uncultured bacterium. Its description in RNAcentral is "bacterial SSU rRNA". It matches the Rfam family "Bacterial small subunit ribosomal RNA", at positions 28 to 508 of the family's 1533-position model. The record is from RNAcentral.
GACGAACGCUGGCGGCGUGCCUAACACAUGCAAGUCGAGCGGAGAUAGACUGAUGGUAACUGAAGCUUAUCUUAGCGGCGGACGGGUGAGUAACACGUGGGCAACCUGCCUUGGAGUGGGGGAUAACACCGGGAAAUCGGUGCUAAUACCGCAUAACAUACACAUACUGCAUGGUGAGUGUAUCAAAGGAGCAAUCCGCUUUAAGAUGGGCCCGCGGCUGAUUAGCUAGUUGGUAAGGUAACGGCUUACCAAGGCGACGAUCAGUAGCCGACCUGAGAGGGUGACCGGCCACACUGGAACUGAGACACGGUCCAGACUCCUACGGGAGGCAGCAGUGGGGAAUAUUGCGCAAUGGGGGAAACCCUGACGCAGCAACGCCGCGUGGAGGAAGAAGGUCUUCGGAUUGUAAACCUCUGUUCUUGGUGACGAAAAGAUGACGUAGCCAAGGGAAAGCCCCGGUAACUACGUGC